This 2547-nucleotide long non-coding RNA is filed under the name Lupinus angustifolius (narrow-leaved blue lupine). RNAcentral's name for it is "long non-coding RNA (LANG_LNC001677)". The record is from RNAcentral. Lineage: Eukaryota; Viridiplantae; Streptophyta; Magnoliopsida; Fabales; Fabaceae.
ACCUGAAGCUUCACCGGACCUUCCCCAUCAUCAGCAGCCAACUCCCUCUCGGGGGUGACCAUGGCAUCUAUCCUGGUUCAAGACCAAUCAGCAUCAGGGAGGACCUACUGGACUUGGGCAUAGUCGUUGUCCCAUCUCGCAUUAGCCGCCACAACAACAUCCUCCUCCAAGUCAUGGUAAGACGCCUUUAGCUAAGCUAGCUCCUCUAUCAGCCGAGCAAUAUCGCCCUUGUUCGUCUCUUCCCGUUCCUCGACCAACUGCAACUUGGUCCCAAGUUGACGCCUCUCCUCUUCAGCUAGGCCAAGGUGGUCACAUAAGGUCCUUAUCUCCCACUAUGAACACUCAAUUUUGUCCAGCUUCUUGUCAAAUAGAUAGAAAUACAAAAAAGUUCAAAACAACCAAAGUUCCUAAAAAUAACUUUUUUAUUUAGAUAUCAUGAAACCAACUUUAUCUUCAAAUCACAAUCAACGAUUAAUUAUUAAUUAGUUGCUGAAUAUAUUUUCAUCCUAUGUGCUAAAUAACUUGUGUACUCUAGAGACAUUGGUUGUAAGUGAUUGUGCUGCAUUGGAAGUUAUAUUUGAAACUCAAGGGUUAUACAAUGUGUCUAUGGAGCUUCUACAACUAAAAGUGCUUGACAUACAAUAUUGAGCACAAACCAAGAGUAUUUCGUGGACUAAUCAAAAUUUUGGAGGUUGCAGAUUUAUCCAAGCUAGGUACAUAGCAAAUUCUCGUCUUUUUCUUUACUAUGGGCAUUGCAAGAAAUAAAAGAUAAUGAACAUAUAUGAGCCAUUCAAGCAAGUUAACAUAUGAAGAGACAACUUUAAAGUUGAAGGUGGCUCGAAUUCAAUUGCUUCACCAGUGUUACUAACGAAUACUAGUAUGGAGGUCAAAUGUGAAUAUAUUCCUCAUGAACCAUGGGAGCCAUCCUUGUGGAAAUGAUCAAGAGACUACAAGUGCUAACAAAGAUGCUAGUAAGGUGCUAAGACACCUAACUCAGGACCGCGAGGCUGCUGAAAAGUCGUCUGCGGUAAAAGGCUCAUGAUAUUUGAUCUGUCAUCCAUAAGCGCGGAGUUGUUACAAAUAGAUAUUAAUGAUCAAAGUUGUGUUGGCAAAUAUCAGAAAUUAAUAUGGAAUAGCAAAUAGUAAGAAGAUUACAAACUAACUAAUUACAUGAUGACUCCAAGAGAAAGAGCAACCAACCAAGAGUUACACAUCAGGGAUAAUUAAACAAGUGCAAACCAGAAGGCAUAUUGAUUUCAGUUACACAGUCAACCUAAUUGCAGCAAUAAAGGGCAAUCACAUAGUAGAAUUCUUGCAAGUUACUGAAUCAAAAUUGGCAGCCUAGGGGUCUACCUUCAAAAAGUAUAAAAUGGGUGCAUUACCACACAGAGAGGACAACCACACAAGAGAGAAAACAGAUUACCCAAAAGCGAAAAAAUUAGAGACAUCAGGGCAUACUGAUAUCAUGCAUAAUACACAACAUUGAGAGAAAAUACAUAUCACAGAACAUAGCAGAUAUGUCAUAUAGAACAACCAUCAGAGAAACAUAACAACAGAGAUUACACCACACAAAAAAUUAGAGAAGAAAAACACAAAAAAGAUACACACAUAUCAUGACAAUCAGGGGAACAUAUACACAUAUAUGUUGAUACCUACACAUAUCAUACAGUGAGAUAGGAGUGCACAAGCCACAAAAAGAGCAAAUACACUACAAGUAAUCACAGAACACUCACAGAUUAUACACCUGCAACAUAAGCCGUCGUAGAUCACACAUAUAUACACCUAUAAUCACGCAUGCACAACAAGAAGGCAUUCCAACACGCGUGUCAUAUACACACACAGGUUCGUCCUCCGUUACUCAACCAUAUUAGAAUCAUUUCAUUUUUUUAUUUGUGUUCCUAUCAUUAUGUGUUUAUAAACCCGGAACUUUAUUUGAAAAGUGGCCAACACACCAUAUGCAAACACACGAAAAAAACAUACUUGAAAUGGUUAUGAUAAUUCUAAUAAGAGAAACCUUGACUUUAUUUCUACCAACCUAUCACUAAUGGGUAAAACAUAACAAAUACACAACCAAAUAGUAGAGAACAUCGAAUUUUUGAUCAAAGUAAACACAAAACCGCACACAACUAAUACAAUAGAACAAAUUUAAUAGUCAGUAAUAGGUCACAAAAGCUAUAAGGCAGGGGUUUAACCCGUUCACAUCCCACAUUCCACAUUCUUCAUACUCACAUGGUUCACGUUGACCCAUAAAACCCGAAGUCCCCUUGCUCUCGAGUCUGAAUCUUUCCCUUGAUAGAAAAGGGAGUAUAAAUUGCCAAAUUGAGCCUUCAUCCCAACACCAAAAAGGGAUAGGCUGCCCUUAUCUUCAAGGACCACCAUGAACCUCUUUUGAAAAGACAUGGCAUGCCUUCGCCGGCGUGAUUGAGGCCACCAUGGGCCGUUCUUCGUGCCGCCGCUGGGUAUGAGAUUUGGGGGUUAGGGAUUUGGCCCUCCCCCUUUCUGAUUCAAACGUGAUAAUGGGGUACCUUUAGUUUUCUUUCUAUUCUU